RNAcentral lists this ribosomal RNA (657 nucleotides) under uncultured Pseudomonadota bacterium. RNAcentral's name for it is "bacterial SSU rRNA". It matches the Rfam family "Bacterial small subunit ribosomal RNA", at positions 57 to 761 of the family's 1533-position model. The record is from RNAcentral. Lineage: Bacteria; Pseudomonadati; Pseudomonadota.
GCAGUCGAACGAGACCUUCGGGUCUAGUGGCGCACGGGUGCGUAACGCGUGGGAACCUGCCUUUAGGUUCGGAAUAACUCAGAGAAAUUUGGGCUAAUACCGGAUGAUGUCUUCGGACCAAAGAUUUAUCGCCUUUAGAUGGGCCCGCGUUGGAUUAGCUAGUUGGUGGGGUAAAGGCCUACCAAGGCGACGAUCCAUAGCUGGUCUGAGAGGAUGAUCAGCCACACUGGGACUGAGACACGGCCCAGACUCCUACGGGAGGCAGCAGUGGGGAAUAUUGGACAAUGGGCGAAAGCCUGAUCCAGCAAUGCCGCGUGAGUGAUGAAGGCCUUAGGGUUGUAAAGCUCUUUUACCAGGGAUGAUAAUGACAGUACCUGGAGAAUAAGCUCCGGCUAACUCCGUGCCAGCAGCCGCGGUAAUACGGAGGGAGCUAGCGUUGUUCGGAAUUACUGGGCGUAAAGCGCACGUAGGCGGCUUUUUAAGUCAGGGGUGAAAUCCCGGGGCUCAACCCCGGAACUGCCCUUGAAACUGGGAAGCUAGAAUCUUGGAGAGGCGAGUGGAAUUCCGAGUGUAGAGGUGAAAUUCGUAGAUAUUCGGAAGAACACCAGUGGCGAAGGCGACUCGCUGGACAAGUAUUGACGCUGAGGUGCGAAAGCG